AUUUCGGGGCGGGGUGCAAUUCCCCACCGGCGGUAAAGGCUGUUGCCCAAGCCCGCGACCCGCGCUCUGCGCGGCUGAUUUGGUGAAAAUCCAAAGCCGACGGUACAGUCCGGAUGUGAGAAA
Molecule: non-coding RNA, 123 nt
Filed under: human gut metagenome
Description: FMN riboswitch (RFN element)
Rfam family: FMN riboswitch aptamer (RFN element)
About the family: The RFN element is a highly conserved domain that is found frequently in the 5'-untranslated regions of prokaryotic mRNAs that encode for flavin mononucleotide (FMN) biosynthesis and transport proteins. This element is a metabolite-dependent riboswitch that directly binds FMN in the absence of proteins.
Source: RNAcentral